RNAcentral lists this ribosomal RNA (700 nucleotides) under uncultured bacterium. RNAcentral describes it as "bacterial SSU rRNA". It matches the Rfam family "Bacterial small subunit ribosomal RNA", at positions 78 to 776 of the family's 1533-position model. The record is from RNAcentral.
CGCAAGGUGCUGACGAGUGGCGAACGGGUGAGUAAUGCAUCGGAACGUGCCCAGUCGUGGGGGAUAACGCAGCGAAAGCUGCGCUAAUACCGCAUACGAUCUAUGGAUGAAAGCGGGGGACCGAAAGGCCUCGCGCGAUUGGAGCGGCCGAUGUCAGAUUAGGUAGUUGGUGGGGUAAAGGCUCACCAAGCCAACGAUCUGUAGCUGGUCUGAGAGGACGACCAGCCACACUGGAACUGAGACACGGUCCAGACUCCUACGGGAGGCAGCAGUGGGGAAUUUUGGACAAUGGGCGCAAGCCUGAUCCAGCAAGCCGCGUGCAGGAAGAAGGCCUUCGGGUUGUAAACUGCUUUUGUACGGAACGAAACGGCGAGCUCUAAUACAGCUUGCUAAUGACGGUACCGUAAGAAUAAGCACCGGCUAACUACGUGCCAGCAGCCGCGGUAAUACGUAGGGUGCAAGCGUUAAUCGGAAUUACUGGGCGUAAAGCGUGCGCAGGCGGUUUUGUAAGACAGUCGUGAAAUCCCCGGGCUCAACCUGGGAAUUGCGAUUGUGACUGCAAAGCUGGAGUGCGGCAGAGGGGGAUGGAAUUCCGCGUGUAGCAGUGAAAUGCGUAGAUAUGCGGAGGAACACCGAUGGCGAAGGCAAUCCCCUGGGCCUGCACUGACGCUCAUGCACGAAAGCGUGGGGAGCAAACAGG